Molecule: ribosomal RNA, 501 nt
Filed under: uncultured Sphingobacteriales bacterium
Lineage: Bacteria; Pseudomonadati; Bacteroidota; Sphingobacteriia; Sphingobacteriales
Description: bacterial SSU rRNA
Rfam family: Bacterial small subunit ribosomal RNA
Source: RNAcentral
CGCCUUGCCAGCCCGCUCAGAACUUAAAGGAAUUGACGGGGCCGCACAAGCGGUGGAGCAUGUGGUUAAUUCGAUGAUACGCGAGGAACCUUACCUGGGCUCGAACGUAAGAUGACUGUAGGUGAAAGCUUACAUCUCUUCGGAGCAUUUUACGAGGUGCUGCAUGGUUGUCGUCAGCUCGUGCCGUGAGGUGUCGGGUUAAGUCCCAUAACGAGCGCAACCCCUACCUUUAGUUGCCAUCAGGUUAAGCUGGGGACUCUAAAGGAACUGCCUACGCAAGUAGUGAGGAAGGCGGGGAUGACGUCAAAUCAGCACGGCCCUUACGUCCAGGGCUACACACGUGCUACAAUGGCCGAUACAGAGGGCAGCUACCUGGUGACAGGAUGCAAAUCUCCAAAGUCGGUCUCAGUUCGGAUCGGAGUCUGCAACCCGACUCCGUGAAGUUGGAUUCGCUAGUAAUCGCGCAUCAGCCAUGGCGCGGUGAAUACGUUCCCGGGCCUU